RNAcentral lists this unclassified non-coding RNA (1014 nucleotides) under Hevea brasiliensis (rubber tree). The record is from RNAcentral. Lineage: Eukaryota; Viridiplantae; Streptophyta; Magnoliopsida; Malpighiales; Euphorbiaceae.
AACAAAGGAAAGUACAAUGAUUCAUAAUUACAGGCCAAAAAGAAGUGCAUGUGAAAUAUUAACUCAAUGCAUAUAUAGAUACGCGUGAGUUUGUGAUGCACGGGUGAAAGUUCUUUGCCCUUAAAGUUUAAUAUUAGGAGCCCUUAAAAUUUAAUAUUAGGAGCGCUACACCGAAAAUGAAAAAUAAAAUAAAAUCAAUGCAUAGAGAUGCCAAAUUUUUUAAGAAGGUUAGGCAUAUUACUGAGAAUUGCUAAGGUGUUACUCAUGUACUCCUUAGCUUUCUGCACCCGCGCUUUCACUUCUCCAAGCAACGGUGAUCCCAUUUCAUCCAGUCCUUCUAGACACGUGUCUUGAUCAGUCAUCGCAGCACUUAUCCAUGUCUGCAUAUUCUUCACCUUCAUCACCGUCAAUGCACUCUCUCCGGUACCCACAUUCAGCAACUCCGCCGAUUGGUUCAGUUGACUCAGCGCAUCAUCGAAUAAGCUAAUGCAGUCCUUCAACGCCGACACGGUUCCUGGGUGAUUGAUCUUCGAUAGCAGCGUCUUUGGCAACGAAGAGAUGCCUGUUAACUCUUUCACCGUCGCCUGAAGAGAGAGAUUCAGGAAUUGUUCCGGGUCGGGUUUUGUUGAGGUGCUGUUGAGGGAAGAUAUGGAAUCAAAGCAUGACCCGGGAUGCUGAGUCACUGCGCAGACGAUUUUGAGCGAAUCGGCUGAACUGGAUGAAGGAGAUGGUGUGCGGCCGUCGGAAUCAUACGCGUGGAUGAACGCGCCGACGAAUGCGCAGAUGAAUAAAGUUAGGAAGAGGGUGAGAGAGACGGCGAUGGUGAGACGACUCUUGUGGGCGGCUCUGGGAUUGGAGUAAGAAGAUGGAUCUUCAGAAGGGUUGACUUUGCCAUAGCCUUUUACUAAGUUGAUUGAUUCCAUUGAAAUGCAAUUUGGAUUUGAGAGCUUUUCUGCAAAAGCUGUAAGGCGAAGAACGACACGGUUUGAAGAGUUGAUAAGAAUUUGGGUAAUG